Molecule: ribosomal RNA, 468 nt
Filed under: uncultured bacterium
Lineage: Bacteria
Description: partial 16S ribosomal RNA
Rfam family: Bacterial small subunit ribosomal RNA
Source: RNAcentral
GACGAACGCUGGCGGCGUGCUUAACACAUGCAAGUCGAACGGAAAGGCCCUGCUUUUGUGGGGUGCUCGAGUGGCGAACGGGUGAGUAACACGUGAGUAACCUGCCCUUGACUUUGGGAUAACUUCAGGAAACUGGGGCUAAUACCGGAUAGGAGCUCCUGCUGCAUGUUGGGGGUUGGAAAGUUUCGGCGGUUGGGGAUGGACUCGCGGCUUAUCAGCUUGUUGGUGGGGUAGUGGCUUACCAAGGCUUUGACGGGUAGCCGGCCUGAGAGGGUGACCGGCCACAUUGGGACUGAGAUACGGCCCAGAAUCCUACGGGAGGCAGCAGUGGGGAAUAUUGCACAAUGGGCGGAAGCCUGAUGCAGCAACGCCGCGUGCGGGAUGACGGCCUUCGGGUUGUAAACCGCUUUCGCCUGUGACGAAGCGUGAGUGACGGUAAUGGGUAAAGAAGCACCGGCUAACUACGUG